UACAGAGGCCUCGAGCGUUGCGCGGAGUCACUGGGCUUAAAGGGUGCGUAGGCGGCGCCGCAAGUGCUUUGUGAAAUCCCACGGCUCAACCGUGGAAUUGCUUGGCAGACUGCGGUGCUUGAGGUCGGUAGAGGUUGCUGGAACUCUAGGUGGAGCGGUGAAAUGCGUAGAUAUCUAGAGGAACGCCAAUGGUGAAGACAGGCAACUGGGCCGAUUCUGACGCUGAGGCACGAAAGCGUGGGGAGCGAACGGG
RNAcentral lists this ribosomal RNA (253 nucleotides) under uncultured bacterium. RNAcentral's name for it is "partial 16S ribosomal RNA". It matches the Rfam family "Bacterial small subunit ribosomal RNA", at positions 524 to 776 of the family's 1533-position model. The record is from RNAcentral.